UUAGAGUUUGAUCCUGGCUCAGGACGAACGCUGGCUGCGUGCUUAACACAUGCAAGUCGAACGCUGAAGCCGACAGCUUGCUGUUGGUGGAUGAGUGGCGAACGGGUGAGUAACACGUGAGUAACCUGCCCCCGAUUUCGGGAUAAGCCCGGGAAACUGGGUCUAAUACCGGAUACGACCACCUGACGCAUGUCGGGUGGUGGAAAGUUUUUCGAUCGGGGAUGGGCUCGCGGCCUAUCAGCUUGUUGGUGGGGUAAUGGCCCACCAAGGCGACGACGGGUAGCCGGCCUGAGAGGGCGACCGGCCACACUGGGACUGAGACACGGCCCAGACUCCUACGGGAGGCAGCAGUGGGGAAUAUUGCACAAUGGGGGAAACCCUGAUGCAGCGACGCAGCGUGCGGGAUGACGGCCUUCGGGUUGUAAACCGCUUUCAGCAGGGAAGAAGCGAAAGUGACGGUACCUGCAGAAGAAGUACCGGCUAACUACGUGCCAGCAGCCGCGGUAAUACGUAGGGUACGAGCGUUGUCCGGAAUUAUUGGGCGUAAAGAGCUCGUAGGUGGUUGGUCACGUCUGCUGUGGAAACGCA
This 588-nucleotide ribosomal RNA is filed under the name uncultured Actinomycetes bacterium. Its description in RNAcentral is "bacterial SSU rRNA". It matches the Rfam family "Bacterial small subunit ribosomal RNA", at positions 1 to 604 of the family's 1533-position model. Lineage: Bacteria; Bacillati; Actinomycetota; Actinomycetes. The record is from RNAcentral.